This 63-nucleotide transfer RNA is filed under the name Paragavialidium hainanense. Its description in RNAcentral is "tRNA-Asp". The record is from RNAcentral. Lineage: Eukaryota; Metazoa; Arthropoda; Insecta; Orthoptera; Tetrigidae. RNAcentral also lists the same sequence under 1 other name.
AAGAAAUUAGUUAAACUAUAACAUUAAAAUGUCAAUUUAAAGUAACUAAUAAAGUAUUUCUUG